AUUGAACGCUGGCGGCAUGCCUUACACAUGCAAGUCGAACGGCAGCACGGGUGCUUGCACCUGGUGGCGAGUGGCGAACGGGUGAGUAAUACACCGGAACGUACCUUAUCGUGGGGGACAACGCAGCGAAAGCUGUGCUAAUACCGCAUACGCCCCGAGGGGGAAAGCGGGGGAUCGAAAUACCGCGCGCGAUUCGAACUCCCGAUGCCUGAUUAGCUUGUUGGUGGGGUAAAAGCCCACCAAGGCGACGAUCAGUAGCUGGUCUGAGAGGACGAUCAGCCACACUGGGACUGAGAGACGGCCCAGACUCCUACGGGAGGCAGCAGUGGGGAAUUUUGGACAAUGGGGGCAACCCUGAUCCAGCAAUGCCGCGUGAGUGAAGAAGGCCUUCGGGUUGUAGAGCUCUUUUGUCAGGGAAGAAACACCGGCUCUAACACAGUCCGGGAACGACGGUACCUGAAGAAUAAGCACCGGCUAACUACGUGCCAGCCGCCGCCGUAA
RNAcentral lists this ribosomal RNA (501 nucleotides) under uncultured bacterium. Its description in RNAcentral is "partial 16S ribosomal RNA". It matches the Rfam family "Bacterial small subunit ribosomal RNA", at positions 29 to 523 of the family's 1533-position model. The record is from RNAcentral.